UCGUGGAUAUGGAUCAAAGAUCAAAUCAUAUAAAUCAUUGUAUCAUAUAUUUUUUUUUUCUACAUAUAAUUAUUUAUUAUUAUUUUAAAUUUCAUAAAUAAUCUUCUACAAAGGUGUAUCAUUCAUCGUAGGGACUCAUGUGUGUUGGGUUGGAUACCCCCUAUAAAAGCUGAAUGAGACACAAAGGCCGACUGGCGAUCAC
This 202-nucleotide long non-coding RNA is filed under the name Elaeis guineensis (African oil palm). RNAcentral's name for it is "long non-coding RNA (EGUI_LNC016228)". Lineage: Eukaryota; Viridiplantae; Streptophyta; Magnoliopsida; Arecales; Arecaceae. The record is from RNAcentral.